CAACAUUCACAUCUUCAACUUUCGCCACGUAGAAGCCUGCAUGCCUUCCGCUUUAGCACCCUCUCCAUGUGUCCUUUAGAAUGGAACUCAAAAGUAGUUAUUUGUAUUUGAAUUUGCUAUCUGCGUGCCUAAAUAAUCGCUUCUUCGACGCAUUUUAUGCUGUCGAGAACUUUGUUAUCAAAAUAUUCCCAUAAUAUUCUCAAAAAAUACUAAGUUCCAACUUGCUUCACUAGAGACCUAGAC
Molecule: long non-coding RNA, 243 nt
Filed under: Lathyrus oleraceus (garden pea)
Lineage: Eukaryota; Viridiplantae; Streptophyta; Magnoliopsida; Fabales; Fabaceae
Description: Pisum sativum (pea) long non-coding RNA (PSAT_LNC028169)
Source: RNAcentral